Molecule: ribosomal RNA, 460 nt
Filed under: uncultured bacterium
Lineage: Bacteria
Description: partial 16S ribosomal RNA
Rfam family: Bacterial small subunit ribosomal RNA
Source: RNAcentral
CCUACGGGAGGCAGCAGUGAGGAAUAUUGGUCAAUGGCCGUAAGGCUGAACCAGCCAAGUAGCGUGAGGGAAGACUGCCCUAUGGGUUGUAAACCUCUUUUAUGCGGGGAUAAAGGUGUCCACGAGUGGAUGUUUGCAGGUACCGCAUGAAUAAGGACCGGCUAAUUCCGUGCCAGCAGCCGCGGUACUACGGAAGGUCCGGGCGUUCUCCGGCUUUGUUGGGUUUAAAGGGAGCGUAGGGCGGUCGUUAAGGGUGCCGUGAAAUUUUGUGGCGCAACCAUGAGAGUGCGGUGCGAACUGGAGACCUUGAGUGAGCGGAAGGCAGGCGGAAUUCGUGGUGUAGCGGUGAAAUGCUUAGAUAUCACGCAGAACCCCGAUUGCGAAGGCAGCCUGCCGCAGCGUUACUGACGCUGAAGCUCGAAAGCGCGGGUAUCGAACAGGAUUAGAUACCCGGGUAGUC